CAGCAGCCACGGGAAUACGUAGGGCGCAAGCGUUAUCCGGAAUUAUUGGGCGUAAAGAGCUCGUAGGCGGUUUGUCGCGUCUGCCGUGAAGGUCCGGGGCUCAACCCCGGAUCUGCGGUGGGUACGGGCAGACUAGAGUGAUGUAGGGGAGACUGGAAUUCCUGGUGUAGCGGUGAAAUGCGCAGAUAUCAGGAGGAACACCGAUGGCGAAGGCAGGUCUCUGGGCAUUAACUGACGCUGAGGAGCGAAAGCAUGGGGAGCGAACAGGAUUAGAUACCCCUGUAGUCCCUGUCUCUUAUAC
RNAcentral lists this ribosomal RNA (301 nucleotides) under uncultured bacterium. Its description in RNAcentral is "partial 16S ribosomal RNA". It matches the Rfam family "Bacterial small subunit ribosomal RNA", at positions 509 to 807 of the family's 1533-position model. The record is from RNAcentral.